UACAGAGGGUGCGAGCGUUGUCCGGAAUCACUGGGCGUAAAGGGCGCGUAGGUGGCGGCCCAAGUCCAUGGUGAAAGCUCGAUGCUCAACAUCGAGUCGGCCACGGAUACUGGGUUGCUCGAGCACUGUAGGGGCAGAUGGAAUUCCGGGUGUAGCGGUGGAAUGCGUAGAGAGUCCGGAAGAACACCGGUGGCGAAGGCGGUCUGCUGGGCGAGUUGCUGGAC
Molecule: ribosomal RNA, 224 nt
Filed under: uncultured bacterium
Lineage: Bacteria
Description: partial 16S ribosomal RNA
Rfam family: Bacterial small subunit ribosomal RNA
Source: RNAcentral